Non-coding RNA from Pelobates cultripes (western spadefoot toad), 367 nucleotides. The record is from the annotation of a GenBank genome assembly. NCBI's taxonomy places the organism in Eukaryota, Metazoa, Chordata, Amphibia, Anura, Pelobatidae.
GUUCAUUUCUAUUUUUCAUUUUAUUAUUUUUACCCUACACAUAAAUAUCUGCCAAGGGAAACUAUGGAGUAAAAUUCAAUGACUGUGAAUACAUGAUAUAUACAUUAAAAAUUAUUAAAUGGGGAGGUGAGGUGGUCUGACCGCCUUGCUUAUCGGUCGCAUGCUGGAGAUCUGGCUCUGCUAGAUUUGGCCUUUACGGCUGAAACUCCAGGUUCACUAUUAUUAUUUAAGCCAUGAGGUUCACCGCAGUCUGCUGGUGGUUGUUGGCGCUACCACAAUUGGCAUGUUUUGAGACCCCUGAGGGCGGGCGACAUGACACGUUGGUGCCUGAGGUCCACUUGGGAGAGAAGCGGGGCAAACAUCUGCU